GAUGAACGCUGGCGGCGUGCCUAAUACAUGCAAGUCGAGCGAACGGACGAGAAGCUUGCUUCUCUGAUGUUAGCGGCGGACGGGUGAGUAACACGUGGAUAACCUACCUAUAAGACUGGGAUAACUUCGGGAAACCGGAGCUAAUACCGGAUAAUAUUUUGAACCGCAUGGUUCAAAAGUGAAAGACGGUCUUGCUGUAACUUAUAGAUGGAUCCGCGCUGCAUUAGCUAGUUGGUAAGGUAACGGCCUAUCAAGGCAACGAUGCAUAGCCGACCUGAGAGGGUGAUCGGCCACACUGGAACUGAGACACGGUCCAGACUCCUACGGGAGGCAGCAGUAGGGAAUCUUCCGCAAUGGGCGAAAGCCUGACGGAGCAACGCCGCGUGAGUGAUGAAGGUCUUCGGAUCGUAAAACUCUGUUAUGAGGGAAGAACAUAUGUGUAAGUAACUGUGCACAUCUUGACGGUACCUAAUCAGAAAGCCACGGCUAACUACGUG
This 497-nucleotide ribosomal RNA is filed under the name uncultured bacterium. Its description in RNAcentral is "partial 16S ribosomal RNA". It matches the Rfam family "Bacterial small subunit ribosomal RNA", at positions 28 to 507 of the family's 1533-position model. The record is from RNAcentral.